UACGUAGGUGGCAAGCGUUGUCCGGAAUUAUUGGGCGUAAAGCGCGCGCAGGCGGUCCUUUAAGUCUGAUGUGAAAGCCCACGGCUCAACCGUGGAGGGUCAUUGGAAACUGGGGGACUUGAGUGCAGGAGAGAAGAGUGGAAUUCCACGUGUAGCGGUGAAAUGCGUAGAGAUGUGGAGGAACACCCGUGGCGAAGGCGGCUCUCUGGGACGGUACUGACGCUGAGACGCGAAAGCGUGGGGAGCGAACAGG
Molecule: ribosomal RNA, 253 nt
Filed under: uncultured bacterium
Lineage: Bacteria
Description: partial 16S ribosomal RNA
Rfam family: Bacterial small subunit ribosomal RNA
Source: RNAcentral